This 497-nucleotide ribosomal RNA is filed under the name uncultured bacterium. Its description in RNAcentral is "partial 16S ribosomal RNA". It matches the Rfam family "Bacterial small subunit ribosomal RNA", at positions 28 to 507 of the family's 1533-position model. The record is from RNAcentral.
GAUGAACGCUGGCGGCGUGCCUAAUACAUGCAAGUCGAGCGAACGGACGAGAAGCUUGCUUCUCUGAUGUUAGCGGCGGACGGGUGAGUAACACGUGGAUAACCGACCUAUAAGACUGGGAUAACUUCGGGAAACCGGAGCUAAUACCGGAUAAUAUUUUGAACCGCAUGGUUCAAAAGUGAAAGACGGUCUUGCUGUCACUUAUAGAUGGAUCCGCGCUGCAUUAGCUAGUUGGUAAGGUAACGGCUUACCAAGGCAACGAUGCAUAGCCGACCUGAGAGGGUGAUCGGCCACACUGGAACUGAGACACGGUCCAGACUCCUACGGGAGGCAGCAGUAGGGAAUCUUCCGCAAUGGGCGAAAGCCUGACGGAGCAACGCCGCGUGAGUGAUGAAGGUCUUCGGAUCGUAAAGCUCUGUUAUUAGGGAAGAACAUAUGUGUAAGUAACUGUGCACAUCUUGACGGUACCUAAUCAGAAAGCCACGGCUAACUACGUG